Molecule: RNA transcript, 2027 nt
Organism: Tyto alba (common barn owl)
Lineage: Eukaryota; Metazoa; Chordata; Aves; Strigiformes; Tytonidae
Gene: VTI1B
Gene name: vesicle transport through interaction with t-SNAREs 1B
Exons: 10
Source: RefSeq, a predicted model, not a curated record
GGCGGGCCGCGGCGCCGGGUCUUCGGAGCACCUGGAGCGGCUGCAUGAGAUCUUCCGGGGCCUGCACGGAGAGCUGCGGGGCGUGCCCGAGCGGCUGCGGGGCAGCGUGGCCGGUGAGGCGGCGGCGGCCGGCCCGCCCUCGUGGCUUGGCGGGAGGGCGCGGAGCGGCCGGGGCUUGCUGUGGGGCCGUUGCAGGGGCGCCUGGGCGCUUUCGCCGUAAAGAAACCCGUUUCUACAGCAGCCGGCGGGCAGAGUUCUUUUAGGAAAGCCGGGGGGGCGGGGGGGGAAGGGGAAGGAGUCCGCCAAGGCAGUUGUAGAGGUUUAGUGCACCGCUUUGGGUAGGCGCCUCCUUGGAGGGGGCAGGUGGUUUUGCUUAGGCCUGGCUUCGCUGUGUGUUAUUUUUCAGUUGCCGCUAUGUUUUGGUAACUUUGCUCCUGAGCGUUAGCUGCGGUUGGUGCUUUACUCCUGUGGAGCAGCUCCUCUUGUCUGGCAAAUUUCAAGUCCACGGUCAAGUGCUGCAGUGCUGGCCUUUCAGUUUCAGUCUUAUCUCUGAGGAGGAGUUGUGAUUUAGAUGUUACUUCGUUAUGUUUCUAGUAUUCUUCAAGAGUCCACUGGUGGUUGUCUUCAGGGCUUUUGCAAAAGCUUAAAACCCAUACAUUUUAGCUCCAUUGAGAUAAGGGGAGUUUCAGAAUUAUGCUUUCAUAGAUCGUGGAUAUUAGAGAGUGGAAAUUGGAGGAUAAUAGAGGAGAAGAAAAAAUUAGUUCGAGAAUUUGAUGAGAAACAGCGUGAAGCAAAUGAAACGCUGCGGGAAAUGGAGGAAGAACUGAAGUAUGCUCCUCUGCCUUUCCGCAACCAAAUGAUGAGCAAAAUCCGGGCGUACAGAAGAGACCUCUCCAUGUUCCAGAGAGAGAUGAGAAGCACAGAUUUGGGAUUGGGCCCUGGAAAUCAAGGCGAUAUAAAAUACGGAAUCUUCUCCACAGAAAAUGAACAGAGUACUCAUCUGCAGUCACAGAGGGUGCUGCUUCUCCAGGGAACAGACAGCCUGAACCGAGCCACGCAGAGCAUCGAGCGCUCGCACCGCAUUGCUGCCGAAACAGAUCAGAUCGGCACCGAUAUCAUUGAGGAACUUGGGGAGCAGCGGGAGCAGCUGGAACGCACCAAGAGCAGAUUGGUGAAUACAAGUGAGAACUUGAGCAAGAGUCGCAAGAUUCUACGUUCUAUGUCCCGGAGAGUUACCACCAACAAGUUGUUACUGUCAAUUAUCAUCAUCCUGGAACUAGCCAUCCUGGGAGGUGUGGUCUACUACAAGUUCUUUCGCAGCAGAUGAAUCUUCAUGACCAAGAUGAGCUUUUCUACUGUUGAGGAACGGGAUGGGCUGGCUGUUCCCUGUGACUGUCUGAGGAUUGAACUGUCCCAUGAGACAGCACAGUCAGCUGAAACUGUACUGACACUAGAGAGACAGAGACUGGGAAUAAAAGGAAAAGGCAGAGACAGACUUGAACUACUGAAAGUCACGGUGAAAGGCUGAACAUUGAUUUGCAUGGCAUCUAGGAUGGAGCAAGCCCCAAGCUUGCGGAUUUCAUAGACAGCUCAUCGAGCUCUGAAAAUGGCUACAGCCAACACAGCUGUCAAGCAGCAAGAAGGCUUUGUUUCCCUCUACACUUCUCAAUUACUAAUUAUAUUCUAGUUACAACAUUGGGACUUGUUUUUAAAAGUCUAACACACCCAUAGCUAGGAAGCCCUUAGGAUUAAAUAAGCGCAUACAAUAAAAGUAUUCAUUACUCUGGGGCAGUGAAACUUUUCUGCAGUCAUAAAUUCAGUAGAGGGAUAAAUGAAUUGGAGACCACUAAGAAAAAACAAUUCAGGUCUCAGAAAUGAAGCUGUAUCUGCAAAACCCAUCACCAUACCCUCAGCUGAGCACAGUAUCGAUAAUGUCGUCAGAUACUCUUCAGUAUCAAUGAUUUAGUACAUUUAAUACUGCCAUUUUUAAUUACACCUCUUCAAAUAAAGAAAAUGGAAUGCCUUAA